AUGGCCGGGAUGUGCCGGCUCCAGCCCCCCGGGGGGUCCCUGACUCUGCUCUGCCACGGGAAUGGAUUCGAUUUUGGGAAUUACGACAUGAUGUGGGCCCGCCAGAGUGCCGGGAAGGCGCUGGAAUGGCUCGCAGGGAUCGACAGCAGUGGCAGCAGCACCCGUUACGCGCCGUCGGUCAAGGGCCGGUUCUGGAUCUCCAGGGACAACGGGCAGAGCUCGGUGACGCUGACCAUGAACAACCUCAAGGACGAGGAUUCCGCCGUUUAUUUCUGCGCCAGAGCUGCGUAUGGUUGGGCUGCUUAUGUUUAUAUCGAGAACCGACCCUUGACCGAUGACGCAUAG
This is a non-coding RNA of Catharus ustulatus (Swainson's thrush), 345 nucleotides long. The record is from the annotation of a RefSeq genome assembly. Lineage: Eukaryota; Metazoa; Chordata; Aves; Passeriformes; Turdidae.